CCUACGUUAUAUGGCAAAUCCUAUCUUAAAACAUCAAAUAUAUUUAACAAAAGGAAAACUAAAGAAAAAGAAGUACUGUUACAUGCAGCAAUGUGGAUAAACCUGGACAACAUUAUGUGAUAAAAGCCAGACACAAUAAAUCAGAAUCCCAGAACAUUGUGAUGAUUUCAUUGAUAUAAACAAAUCUAUGAAAACAGUAAGUAGUUAGGUAUGGCAGAUUGGUGUUUGCCAAAGCUUGGACAGGAGAGAAUAAGGAUUAAGUUACAGCUAUUGGGUACAAGCUUUUACAGUAAUGAAAUAGCCCAGAAUUAUAUGGUUGAGAUGGCUGAAUAACUGUGUUAAUAUACUAAAACCAAGGGAUUCUAAAUUUGAGAUAUGUGUAUUUUCUGCAAGUAUUAUUUCACUUAAAAAUAUAAAAAAAUCCUCUCCCCAUUUGAUGCAUUAAUAUCAUAUACAAAUCCACAUACCUUUCCAAUAGCUUCAGUAUGAUGUUGUGUACAUAUCUGAA
Long non-coding RNA from Perognathus longimembris pacificus (Pacific pocket mouse), 508 nucleotides. RefSeq lists it as uncharacterized. The record is from RefSeq and is a predicted model, not a curated record. NCBI's taxonomy places the organism in Eukaryota, Metazoa, Chordata, Mammalia, Rodentia, Heteromyidae. The transcript is spliced from 3 exons.